GACGAGGGGUCCUAGCGUUGUUCGGAAUCAUUGGGCGUAAAGCGUGUGUAGGCUGCUAUGUAAGUCAGGUGUGAAAUCCCCGGGCUCAACCCGGGAAGUGCAUUUGAUACUGCGUAGCUUGAGUAUUGGAGAGGGUAGUGGAAUUCCUGGUGUAGUGGUGAAAUACGUAGAUAUCAGGAGGAACACCGGUGGCGAAGGCGGCUACCUGGCCAAAUACUGACGCUGAGACACGAAAGCGUGGGGAGCAAAC
RNAcentral lists this ribosomal RNA (250 nucleotides) under uncultured bacterium. RNAcentral describes it as "partial 16S ribosomal RNA". It matches the Rfam family "Bacterial small subunit ribosomal RNA", at positions 524 to 773 of the family's 1533-position model. The record is from RNAcentral.